GACGAACGUUGGCGGCGUGCUUAAUACAUGCAAGUCCACUGAGGCAGUGGUAGCAAUAUCGCUGUGGAGGUGGCGCACGGGUGAGUAACACGUAGGUAAUCUGCCUUCAGGUCUGGCAUAACUCCGGGAAACCGGGGCUAAUAGCAGAUGAUGCAGCGGCUCGACAUCGAGACAGUUGUUAAAGCUAUGGCGCCUGAAGAUGAGCCUGCGUCUGAUUAGCUAGUUGGCGGGGUAACGGCCCACCAAGGCAACGAUCAGUAGCUGGUCUGAGAGGAUGAUCAGCCACACUGGAACUGAGACACGGUCCAGACUCCUACGGGAGGCAGCAGUAAGGAAUAUUGCUCAAUGGGAGAAAUCCUGAAGCAGCAACGCCGCGUGAGGGACGAAGGGCUUUUGCUUGUAAACCUCUGUAGUGAGAGAAAAAAAUCCCAAUCUUUGGGACAUGAUGGUAUCUCAAAAGUAAGCCCCGGCUAACUACGUG
This 481-nucleotide ribosomal RNA is filed under the name uncultured bacterium. RNAcentral's name for it is "partial 16S ribosomal RNA". It matches the Rfam family "Bacterial small subunit ribosomal RNA", at positions 28 to 507 of the family's 1533-position model. The record is from RNAcentral.